RNAcentral lists this ribosomal RNA (373 nucleotides) under uncultured bacterium. Its description in RNAcentral is "bacterial SSU rRNA". It matches the Rfam family "Bacterial small subunit ribosomal RNA", at positions 525 to 896 of the family's 1533-position model. The record is from RNAcentral.
ACGUAGGGGGCAAGCGUUGUCCGGAAUCAUUGGGCGUAAAGCGCGUGUAGGUGGCUUGGUAAGUCCGGUGUGAAACCUUGGGGCUCAACCCCAAGCCUGCAUCGGAUACUGCCUCGCUUGAGUUCGGGAGGGGAGAGCGGAAUUCCUAGUGUAGCGGUGAAAUGCGCAGAUAUUAGGAAGAACACCGGUGGCGAAGGCGGCUCUCUGGAACGAUACUGACACUGAGACGCGAAAGCGUGGGUAGCGAACAGGAUUAGAUACCCUGGUAGUCCACGCCGUAAACGAUGGGCACUAGAUGUGGGCGGUGUCGACUCCGCCCGUGUCGCAGCUAACGCAUUAAGUGCCCCGCCUGGGGAGUACGGCCGCAAGGCUA